This 254-nucleotide ribosomal RNA is filed under the name uncultured bacterium. Its description in RNAcentral is "partial 16S ribosomal RNA". It matches the Rfam family "Bacterial small subunit ribosomal RNA", at positions 524 to 776 of the family's 1533-position model. The record is from RNAcentral.
CACGUAGGGGGCAAGCGUUGUCCGGAUUUAUUGGGCGUAAAGAGCUCGUAGGCGGCUCGGUAAGUCGGGUGUGAAACCUCCAGGCUCAACCUGGAGACGCCACCUGAUACUGCUGUGGCUAGAGUCCGGUAGGGGAGUGUGGAACUCCUGGUGUAGCGGUGAAAUGCGCAGAUAUCAGGAAGAACACCAGCGGCGAAGGCGAGUCCCUGGACAACUCCUGACACUGAGGCACGAAAGCUAGGGGAGCAAACAGG